RNAcentral lists this ribosomal RNA (327 nucleotides) under uncultured eukaryote. RNAcentral describes it as "partial 18S ribosomal RNA". It matches the Rfam family "Eukaryotic small subunit ribosomal RNA", at positions 1470 to 1796 of the family's 1831-position model. The record is from RNAcentral.
CCCUUAGAUGUUCUGGGCCGCACGCGCGCUACACUGACGAAUGCAACGAGCUUAUAACCUUGGCCGAAAGGUCUGGGUAAUCUCCAAAUUUCGUCGUGAUGGGGAUAGAUUAUUGCAAUUAUUAAUCUUCAACGAGGAAUGCCUAGUAAGCGUGAUUCAUCAAAUCGCGUUGAUUACGUCCCUGCCCUUUGUACACACCGCCCGUCGCUCCUACCGAUUGAGUGUGUUGGUGAGGAGUUCGGAUUGGCAGCAGGUGGUGGUUCGCCACCGCCUAUUGCUGAGAAGUUCUCCAAACCGCCCCACUUAGAGGAAGGAGAAGUCGUAACA